Molecule: non-coding RNA, 346 nt
Organism: Paramuricea clavata
Lineage: Eukaryota; Metazoa; Cnidaria; Anthozoa; Malacalcyonacea; Plexauridae
Source: the annotation of a GenBank genome assembly
AAUGAGCACUACUGGACGCUACACUUGAAAGUUGAAACACUUCACAGACGGCAGACGCGACUCGACUCUUCUAUCGGCCAAAUAUAAUAUAAAAUUUUAGCAAUAAAUUUUAAUAUUAAAGUUAAAGUUUAUAUCGGCUACCUUUCCGCACAUAUAUAGUCGUACCUUAUACUUUUGUGGAAACAUCAAAUAGCAUUCCACUGGUGCUUUAAAGACCCUCAAAUCUGGAAUUCUAUCGACAGGAUUUGUACGUAUCUACCUCAAGUUGAAUGAACAAAUAUCUGACAAAUAUGCCAAUUGCCAAAGUUUUGUGACGUUUAAUCACUGCGUUUAAUAUACGCAUUUC